RNAcentral lists this ribosomal RNA (468 nucleotides) under uncultured bacterium. RNAcentral describes it as "partial 16S ribosomal RNA". It matches the Rfam family "Bacterial small subunit ribosomal RNA", at positions 28 to 507 of the family's 1533-position model. The record is from RNAcentral.
GACGAACGCUGGCGGCGUGCUUAACACAUGCAAGUCGAACGGAAAGGCCCUGCUUUUGUGGGGUGCUCGAGUGGCGAACGGGUGAGUAACACGUGAGUAACCUGCCCUUGACUUUGGGAUAACUUCAGGAAACUGGGGCUAAUACCGGAUAGGAGCUCCUGCUGCAUGGUGGGGGUUGGAAAGUUUCGGCGGUUGGAGAUGGACUCGCGGCUUAUCAGCUUGUUGGUGGGGUAGUGGCUUACCAAGGCUUUGACGGGUAGCCGGCCUGAGAGGGUGCCCGGCCACAUUGGGACUGAGAUACGGCCCAGACUCCUACGGGAGGCAGCGGUGGGGAAUAUUGCACAAUGGGCGGAAGCCUGAUGCAGCAACGCCGCGUGCGGGAUGACGGCCUUCGGGUUGUAAACCGCUUUCGCCUGUGACGAAGCGUGAGUGACGGUAAUGGGUAAAGAAGCACCGGCUAACUACGUG